GACGAACGCUGGCGGCGUGCUUAACACAUGCAAGUCGAACGGAAAGGCCCUGCUUUUGUGGGGUGCUCGAGUGGCGAACGGGUGAGUAACACGUGAGUAACCUGCCCUUGACUUUGGGAUAACUUCAGGAAACUGGGGCUAAUACCGGAUAGGAGCUCCUGCUGCAUGGUGGGGGUUGGAAAGUUUCGGCGGUUGGGGAUGGACUCGCGGCUUAUCAGCUUGUUGGUGGGGUAGUGGCUUACCAAGGCUUUGACGGGUAGCCGGCCUGAGAGGGGGACCGGCCACUUGGGGACGGAGAUAGGGCCCAGACUCAAAGGGGAGGAAGAGGGGGGAAUUAUGGCAAAGGGGGGGGGGGCUGGAGACAGCAAGCCCGGGUGCGGGAAGCGGGCUUUGGGGUGAAAACCCGUUUUCGCCGGAAAGGAGGGGGGAGUGAGGGUAGGGAAUAAGAAAGCCCCGGCUAACUACGUG
RNAcentral lists this ribosomal RNA (468 nucleotides) under uncultured bacterium. RNAcentral describes it as "partial 16S ribosomal RNA". It matches the Rfam family "Bacterial small subunit ribosomal RNA", at positions 28 to 507 of the family's 1533-position model. The record is from RNAcentral.